RNAcentral lists this long non-coding RNA (411 nucleotides) under Calidris pygmaea (Spoon-billed sandpiper). RNAcentral describes it as "lncRNA (ENSCPGG00000005488.1)". Lineage: Eukaryota; Metazoa; Chordata; Aves; Charadriiformes; Scolopacidae. The record is from RNAcentral.
GAAAGCUUCUAACAGCUCUGCCACUUUGCAGAGGCUGUGGAUGCCAGGUGCAGCAAUCUCCGGGGGAGUGAGCACCGCUCAGGGGACACCAACUGCUCCUGACUACGCGUUCCCCAAGUUUCGGUUCGUUGUGAUCAGCAGAGCGGUGGUCAAGGCUCUGGCCGCCCAGCACAGGAAGGCUUCAGAACAGCACAGGAUGAGAAGAGCUACAGAGGGGCUUCUUGAGAAGGUGCUGCAGAGGCCAAGGAAUCUUUCCCUCCCCGUGCUGCCAAGCCAGAGUCCAGGCACAAGGCAGCAAGACAUGGGGAAGAAGACUUCUUCCAGGUGAGACCUCCUUAGAUGGGAUGAAAGGGAUCCCUAAGCCCAUGUAGAGCCCAUGAGAGACAUGUCCUUCAGACACUCCAGCUGCAG